This 728-nucleotide long non-coding RNA is filed under the name Monodon monoceros (narwhal). RNAcentral's name for it is "lncRNA (ENSMMNG00015006507.1)". Lineage: Eukaryota; Metazoa; Chordata; Mammalia; Artiodactyla; Monodontidae. The record is from RNAcentral.
AAAAGGAACCACAGUGAAACUAGCAUUAUUUGUGUAUUUUCUGUUUUUCUUCCUACUGAAUAUGCUUUUAUUGCUUUCUUUUUUUUUUUUUUCAGUACGCGGGCCUCUCACUGUUGUGGCCUCUCCCGUUGCGGAGCACAGGCUCCGGGCGCGCAGGCUCAGCGGCCAUGGCUCACGGUCCCAGCCGCUCCGCGGCAUGUGGGAUCUUCCCGGACCGGGGCACGAACCCGUGUCCCCUGAAUCGGCAGGCGGACUCCCAACCACUGCGCCACCAGGGAAGCCCCUUUUAUUGCUUUCUUGUAAUCAGAGGUAAGAUCAUGUUACAACAUGACAACAACAAAAGUCUGUAGCAUUUCUGCUCACUGAACUCUGCUAAAUGAUGAACUGUGAAGGGAUCCUUGAAGAAUUGGUGACAAUUUGCAUAGGUGACAGAAGAGGAAAGAAAGAACCUUGGAGGUGGCAAUGAGGAUAUGUUUACAGUUUCUGGUCCCACAUGUGAGGUUCUUGGAAGUUGCCACUCCAUCCUAACAACGAGUAAAAAGCUGAACAAUCUGAGAAACCAACUACUCUUGUGGAUCCAUAAGAGAGGGGAGGACAAAGGCCAAACGUCUGCCCCUGGGAUUGGAGAGAUAGACAGACCAACACAAGGAGUCAUGGCUUCCCAUAGCAGAGACUCACGAGUGGAAACUGCCAGGGGAACCAGUGCCAAGGAGUUCUCAGAAGGCUGA